This 566-nucleotide ribosomal RNA is filed under the name uncultured bacterium. Its description in RNAcentral is "bacterial SSU rRNA". It matches the Rfam family "Bacterial small subunit ribosomal RNA", at positions 62 to 615 of the family's 1533-position model. The record is from RNAcentral.
CCGAGUGCUUGCACUCAAUUGGAAAGAGGAGUGNNNGUGACGGGUGAGUAACACGUGGGUAACCUACCCAUCAGAGGGGGAUAACACUUGGAAACAGGUGCUAAUACCGCAUAACAGUUUAUGCCGCAUGGCAUAAGAGUGAAAGGCGCUUUCGGGUGUCGCUGAUGGAUGGACCCGCGGUGCAUUAGCUAGUUGGUGAGGUAACGGCUCACCAAGGCCACGAUGCAUAGCCGACCUGAGAGGGUGAUCGGCCACACUGGGACUGAGACACGGCCCAGACUCCUACGGGAGGCAGCAGUAGGGAAUCUUCGGCAAUGGACGAAAGUCUGACCGAGCAACGCCGCGUGAGUGAAGAAGGUUUUCGGAUCGUAAAACUCUGUUGUUAGAGAAGAACAAGGACGUUAGUAACUGAACGUCCCCUGACGGUAUCUAACCAGAAAGCCACGGCUAACUACGUGCCAGCAGCCGCGGUAAUACGUAGGUGGCAAGCGUUGUCCGGAUUUAUUGGGCGUAAAGCGAGCGCAGGCGGUUUCUUAAGUCUGAUGUGAAAGCCCCCGGCUCAACCG